RNAcentral lists this ribosomal RNA (989 nucleotides) under Oceanobacillus oncorhynchi subsp. oncorhynchi. RNAcentral's name for it is "bacterial SSU rRNA". It matches the Rfam family "Bacterial small subunit ribosomal RNA", at positions 43 to 999 of the family's 1533-position model. The record is from RNAcentral. Lineage: Bacteria; Bacillati; Bacillota; Bacilli; Caryophanales; Bacillaceae.
CUAAUGGCUAAUACAUGCAGUCGAGCGCGGGAAGCGAACGGAACUCUUCGGAGGGAAGUUCGUGGAACGAGCGGCGGACGGGUGAGUAACACGUAGGCAACCUGCCUGUAAGACUGGGAUAACUCGCGGAAACGCGAGCUAAUACCGGAUAACACUUUCUAUCACCUGAUGGAAAGUUGAAAGGCGGCUUUUGCUGUCACUUACAGAUGGGCCUGCGGCGCAUUAGCUAGUUGGUGAGGUAACGGCUCACCAAGGCGACGAUGCGUAGCCGACCUGAGAGGGUGAUCGGCCACACUGGGACUGAGACACGGCCCAGACUCCUACGGGAGGCAGCAGUAGGGAAUCUUCCGCAAUGGACGAAAGUCUGACGGAGCAACGCCGCGUGAGUGAUGAAGGUUUUCGGAUCGUAAAACUCUGUUGUCAGGGAAGAACAAGUACGAUAGUAACUGAUCGUACCUUGACGGUACCUGACCAGAAAGCCACGGCUAACUACGUGCCAGCAGCCGCGGUAAUACGUAGGUGGCAAGCGUUGUCCGGAAUUAUUGGGCGUAAAGCGCUCGCAGGCGGUUCUUUAAGUCUGAUGUGAAAUCUUGCGGCUCAACCGCAAACGUGCAUUGGAAACUGGAGGACUUGAGUGCAGAAGAGGAGAGUGGAAUUCCACGUGUAGCGGUGAAAUGCGUAGAGAUGUGGAGGAACACCAGUGGCGAAGGCGACUCUCUGGUCUGUAACUGACGCUGAGGAGCGAAAGCGUGGGGAGCGAACAGGAUUAGAUACCCUGGUAGUCCACGCCGUAAACGAUGAGUGCUAGGUGUUAGGGGGUUUCCGCCCCUUAGUGCUGAAGUUAACGCAUUAAGCACUCCGCCUGGGGAGUACGGCCGCAAGGCUGAAACUCAAAAGAAUUGACGGGGACCCGCACAAGCGGUGGAGCAUGUGGUUUAAUUCGAAGCAACGCGAAGAACCUUACCAGGUCUUGACAUCCUUUGACCGCU